GAGAAAUGAGGAUAUUUACAAUGUCUUACUUUUACACUGAAGACAUCAGAUCCAACUCUGAUCUUGCUGUAAGC
This is a small nucleolar RNA of Varanus komodoensis (Komodo dragon), 74 nucleotides long. The record is from Ensembl. Lineage: Eukaryota; Metazoa; Chordata; Lepidosauria; Squamata; Varanidae.